Non-coding RNA from Oryza glumipatula, 203 nucleotides. The record is from Rfam. Lineage: Eukaryota; Viridiplantae; Streptophyta; Magnoliopsida; Poales; Poaceae.
UUUAAGAGAAGCUAUAAGUUUCUGUGUCCAAUUUGAUCGUCCGUCUUAUUUAAAUUUUUUAAUAAUUAGUAUUUUUAUUGUUAUGAGAUAAUAAAAUAUGAAUAGUACUUUAUACAUGGCUUAUAUUUUUAAAUCUUUUUAAAAUAAUUCUAAAUAAGACGAACGGUCAAAGUUAUGCAUAGAAAAUCAUAGUUGCAUUUAAA